CGAUUACGGGCGGUGUGUACANNNGCCNGGGAACGUAUUCACCGCGGCAUGCUGAUCCGCGAUUACUAGCGAUUCCAGCUUCACGCAGUCGAGUUGCAGACUGCGAUCCGAACUGAGAACAGAUUUGUGGGAUUGGCUUAACCUCGCGGUUUCGCUGCCCUUUGUUCUGCCCAUUGUAGCACGUGUGUAGCCCAGGUCAUAAGGGGCAUGAUGAUUUGACGUCAUCCCCACCUUCCUCCGGUUUGUCACCGGCAGUCACCUUAGAGUGCCCAACUGAAUGCUGGCAACUAAGAUCAAGGGUUGCGCUCGUUGCGGGACUUAACCCAACAUCUCACGACACGAGCUGACGACAACCACGCACCACCUGUCACUCUGCCCCCGAAGGGGACGUCCUAUCUCUAGGAUUGUCAGAGGAUGUCAAGACCUGGUAAGGUUCCUCGCGUUGCUUCGAAUUAAACCACAUGCUCCACCGCUUGUGCGGGCCCCCGUCAAUUCCUUUGAGUUUCAGUCUUGCGACCGUACUCCCCAGGCGGAGUGCUUAAUGCGUUAGCUGCAGCACUAAGGGGCGGAAACCCCCUAACACUUAGCACUCAUCGUUUACGGCGUGGACUACCAGGGUAUCUAAUCCUGUUCGCUCCCCACGCUUUCGCUCCUCAGCGUCAGUUACAGACCAGANAGUCGCCUUCGCCACUGGUGUUCCUCCACAUCUCUACGCAUUUCACCGCUACACGUGNAAUUCCACUCUCCUCUUCUGCACUCAAGUUCCCCAGUUUNCAAUGACCCUCCCCGGUNGAGCCGGGGGCUUUCACAUCANANUUAAGAAAACCGCCUGCGANCCCUUUACGCCCAAUAAUUCCGGACAACGCUUG
This 869-nucleotide ribosomal RNA is filed under the name Bacillus subtilis. RNAcentral's name for it is "partial 16S ribosomal RNA". Lineage: Bacteria; Bacillati; Bacillota; Bacilli; Caryophanales; Bacillaceae. The record is from RNAcentral.